Molecule: ribosomal RNA, 776 nt
Filed under: uncultured Neocallimastigales
Lineage: Eukaryota; Fungi; Neocallimastigomycota; Neocallimastigomycetes; Neocallimastigales
Description: partial large subunit ribosomal RNA
Rfam family: Eukaryotic large subunit ribosomal RNA
Source: RNAcentral
UAUCUCUGUAGAGUCUGCAUAUCAAUAAGCGGAGGAAAAGAAACUAACAUAGGAUUCCCUCAGUAACGGCGAGUGAAGCGGGAAGAGCUCAAAUUUGAAAUCUUCAAGGGUUCUACCUUUACGAAUUGUAGUUUAAAGAAGUGUUUUCUGUUGGAGUUUCGGUAAAAGUUCUUUGGAAUAGGACAUCAUAGAGGGUGAGAAUCCCGUAUUUGACCAGUUACUUUCCAGCUGUGUGAUACACUUUCAAAGAGUCGGAUUGUUUGGGAAUGCAGUCCAAAAUGGGUGGUAAAUUUCAUCUAAAGCUAAAUACUGGCGAGAGACCGAUAGCGAACAAGUACCGUAAGGGAAAGAUGAAAAGAACUUUGAAAAGAGAAUUAAACAGUACGUGAAAUUGUCAAAAGGGAAGCGUUUGACACCAGUGUUGUUUUCUCGAAAAUCAAUUAAAAAUGCUGGAUUUUGUGUUGUAUUGACUUUAUCAGCUUUCUGCACUUUUUCCUGUCUUUUUUAAUGCACUUUUCGUUUAACAAGUCAACAUCAAUUUCUUUUGUUGUAAAAGGGUCAUUGGAAGGUGGCUUUCUUUUCGGAGAAAGUGUUUAUAGCCUUUGACUUCUGCAAUCGGAGAGAUUGAGGUCUGCAGCGUAGAUCCUUCGGGGUUAGAUGCAUUUGUGCUAAGUUAUAGCCUUUCAUAGACAACUUGUUGACUAUGAUCAGUCAUGUAGCUUACUCGCUUAUGUCAUUUUACCUACGCUUAGGAUGUUGAUCUCUCACAGUCGAGC